RNAcentral lists this long non-coding RNA (802 nucleotides) under Lathyrus oleraceus (garden pea). RNAcentral describes it as "Pisum sativum (pea) long non-coding RNA (PSAT_LNC039498)". The record is from RNAcentral. Lineage: Eukaryota; Viridiplantae; Streptophyta; Magnoliopsida; Fabales; Fabaceae.
GAAUAUACCUUCAUUCUCAUGGGGCUUUGGCCCACUUUUUUAUAUGCAUCCAUAGGUAGCUUGGUUUAGCUUGGUCUGAGUAUGGAAAAACUCGCGACUUACAUUUCGAAGCCAUCCGUCUUCCACGACUCUUAUUCUACUUAUCUAAUGCUACAUGCAAUUUUCUAACACAUAAUAAAACUGUUCAACUUCCCUCUUAAGUACUGAUUACUACCUUUUAACUCGGUUACAAUUUUGAUUUAUCAUUCGGUUACAACCCAAUUUACUUAUGAACAAAUCAAGUGCAAACUCUAAAUAAUCUAGAGUUAACAUGUAUGCUCAGGAACCACAAAGUACUUUAAAUAUGUACAAUUCCAAACUCCAGUUCCAAGACAUCUCCGAAAAAGGUGCAACCAGAGUUAACAUGUAUGCUCAGGAACCACAAAGUACUUUAAAUAUGUACAAUUCCAAACUCCAGUUCCAAGACAUCUCCGAAAAAGGUGCAACCUGUCCUGCCGUGACUGCUACGAAACCGUGUGACCAACCGCCUUCCAACCACCAAUGAGUUUUUGGCUUUGACAUUUCAGUCCAACCUAGUCGAUACUGUACCAUUCAUAACCUGCAAAGAAAUAAUAACAGGUUUCAAUAGCCUAACGGAACCAUUACAAAUUCUCGACACAACAACUCCUGACACCAUUCGCGUUACCUUCACUUGAUAAAUCUAAUGGUGCACACCCAAAUCAAGCCUUUAAGUAAUAACGGGAAAACAAUCACCAAGCUCACUUCGGUUCCAUUUCAACCACUAAGCGCCAAGGAUCAAUUA